RNAcentral lists this ribosomal RNA (232 nucleotides) under uncultured bacterium. RNAcentral describes it as "partial 16S ribosomal RNA". It matches the Rfam family "Bacterial small subunit ribosomal RNA", at positions 102 to 334 of the family's 1533-position model. The record is from RNAcentral.
CACGGGUGAGUAACACGUAUCCAACCUGCCGUCUACUCUUGGACAGCCUUCUGAAAGGAAGAUUAAUACAAGAUGGCAUCAUGAGUCCGCAUGUUCACAUGAUUAAAGGUAUUCCGGUAGACGAUGGGGAUGCGUUCCAUUAGAUAGUAGGCGGGGUAACGGCCCACCUAGUCUUCGAUGGAUAGGGGUUCUGAGAGGAGGUCCCCCACAUUGGAACUGAGACACGGUCCAA